Molecule: long non-coding RNA, 324 nt
Filed under: Nicotiana tabacum (common tobacco)
Lineage: Eukaryota; Viridiplantae; Streptophyta; Magnoliopsida; Solanales; Solanaceae
Description: long non-coding RNA (NTAB_LNC001486)
Source: RNAcentral
AAUGCUGAAAGAUUUGACGAGUUUUGCCAUUUCUGAACAUAUUCAUUCAGGGAAACAAGCCAUCUUGCAACAGCCAGUUCUACUCCAAUAAUAGAACACUGUCACAUUUCGCACGUCUUGCAAAGAUCUACAAAGCAUGGAAGUUUUACAGGAUUCAACUAGUUAAGGUAAUAUACGAUCACAGUUUGGUUUUUCAAAAUAAAAAAUUUAAACCAAAAGAUCUAAGAAAUAGUACCUUGUUGAAUUACACAGGAAGCCUGUCAGAAAGGGCUACCAAUUUGUCGACAUCUCUUCCUUCACUAUCCAGAAGAUGAACAUGUACAU